Molecule: non-coding RNA, 148 nt
Organism: Pan troglodytes (chimpanzee)
Lineage: Eukaryota; Metazoa; Chordata; Mammalia; Primates; Hominidae
Rfam family: Metazoan signal recognition particle RNA
About the family: The signal recognition particle (SRP) is a universally conserved ribonucleoprotein. It is involved in the co-translational targeting of proteins to membranes.
Source: Rfam
GCUGGGCAUGGGGGCGCAUUCCUGUGGUCCCAGCUAUUCAGGAGGCUGAGGUGGGAGGAUCACUCGAGCCCAGGAGGUCAAGGCUGCAGUGAGUUGAGAUCAUACCACUGCACUCUGGUCUGGGUGAUAGAGUGAGACCCUGUCUCAA